RNAcentral lists this ribosomal RNA (540 nucleotides) under uncultured bacterium. RNAcentral's name for it is "bacterial SSU rRNA". It matches the Rfam family "Bacterial small subunit ribosomal RNA", at positions 777 to 1319 of the family's 1533-position model. The record is from RNAcentral.
AAUAGAUACCCCGGUAGUCCACGCUGUAAACGAUGAGGACUAAAUGUUGGUAGGGGAACCUAUCGGUAUUGAAGCUAACGCGAUAAGUCUUCCGCCUGGGAAGUACGGCCGCAAGGUUGAAACUCAAAUGAAUUGACGGGGGCCCGCACAAGCGGUGGAGCAUGUGGUUUAAUUCGAUGCAACGCGAAGAACCUUACCUACCCUUGACAUCCUGCGAAUCCCGAUGAGAGUUGGGAGUGCCGCAAGGAGCGCAGAGACAGGUGCUGCAUGGCUGUCGUCAGCUCGUGUUGUGAGAUAUUGGGUUAAGUCCCGUAACGAGCGCAACCCUUGUCCUUAGUUGCCAGCAUUAAGUUGGGGACUCUAAGGAGACUGCCGGUGAGGAACCGGAGGAAGGCGGGGACGACGUCAAGUCAUCAUGGCCUUUANGGGUAGGGCUACACACGUGCUACAAUGGGGCGUACAGAGGGUCGCGAACCCACGAGGGGGAGCCAAUCUCAUAAAGCGUCUCGUAGUCCGGAUUGGAGUCUGCAACUCGACUCC